CUCUCGACAACGGAUAUCUCGGCUCUCGCAUCGAUGAAGAACGUAGCGAAAUGCGAUACUUGGUGUGAAUUGCAGAAUCCCGUGAACCAUCGAGUUUUUGAACGCAAGUUGCGCCCGAAGCCUUUUGGCCAGGGCACGUCUGCCUGGGCGUCACG
RNAcentral lists this ribosomal RNA (155 nucleotides) under Centemopsis fastigiata. It matches the Rfam family "5.8S ribosomal RNA". Rfam says of the family: 5.8S ribosomal RNA (5.8S rRNA) is a component of the large subunit of the eukaryotic ribosome. It is transcribed by RNA polymerase I as part of the 45S precursor that also contains 18S and 28S rRNA. Functionally, it is thought that 5.8S rRNA may be involved in ribosome translocation. The record is from RNAcentral. Lineage: Eukaryota; Viridiplantae; Streptophyta; Magnoliopsida; Caryophyllales; Amaranthaceae.